Molecule: ribosomal RNA, 253 nt
Filed under: uncultured prokaryote
Description: partial 16S ribosomal RNA
Rfam family: Bacterial small subunit ribosomal RNA
Source: RNAcentral
ACGUAGGGACCAAGCGUUGUUCGGAUUUACUGGGCGUAAAGGGCGCGUAGGCGGCAUGUUAAGUCAGCUGUGAAAUCUCCGAGCUUAACUCGGAACGGUCAGCUGAUACUGAUAUGCUAGAGUGCAGAAGGGGCAAUCGGAAUUCUUGGUGUAGCGGUGAAAUGCGUAGAUAUCAAGAGGAACACCUGAGGCGAAGGCGGGUUGCUAGGCUGAUACUGACGCUGAGGCGCGAAAGCUAGGGUAGCAAACGGGA